Molecule: ribosomal RNA, 406 nt
Filed under: uncultured bacterium
Lineage: Bacteria
Description: partial 16S ribosomal RNA
Rfam family: Bacterial small subunit ribosomal RNA
Source: RNAcentral
AUUGAACGCUGGCGGCAGGCCUAACACAUGCAAGUCGAACGAGUGGCGGACGGGUGAGUAAUGUCUGGGAAUCUAGCUGAUGGAGGGGGAUAACUACGGGAAACUGUAGCUAAUACCGCAUACCAUCGGAUGUGCCCAAGUGGGAUUAGGUAGUUGGUGGGGUAAAGGCUCACCUAGGCGACGAUCCCUAGCUGGUCUGAGAGGAUGACCAGCCACACUGGGACGGAGACACGGCCCAGACUCCUACGGGAGGCAGCAGUGGGGAAUAUUGCGCAAUGGGGGCAAGCCUGACGCAGCCAUGCCGCGUGUAUGAAGAAGGCCUUCGGGUUGUAAAGUUCUUUCGGUGGCGAGGCGUUACCUACAGAAGAAGCACCGGCUAACUCCGUGCCAGCAGCCGCGGUAAUAC